AUUUGACACUUGGUGUCAUCAGCUGUUUGGCUCUCGUUUAUUUUUCUGAACAGGCGGAAAAUUAAGAAAAAUAGAUUAUUAUCAAACACAAAUUGAAAGAAGUUAUGACUGAAACUAGGAUCUAAAGUUACAUUUACGCAAUGCAGAAGCUUCAACUAACGUUAGCCAUAAUAAAACCGCAUGCGGUGUCGAAUCCAGUAGUGCUUUCGUUCAUUAGAAAUAUUUUGAAAAAUAAAUUCAUCGUUGUGAAAACAAAAAGGGUAAAUCUAGAUACAGAGACUGCUUGCAGAUUUUAUCAAGAACAUGUUGGCAAGUUUUUCUAUAAUCGUCUUACUACAUUCAUGGCUAGUGGGUGCAUAGACCUACAUGUGCUGGGGCACGUGAAUGCUAUACAUCUGUGGCGGAAGAUCCUAGGGCCUACCAGCGUUUACAAAGGACAGUUUCAAGAUCCUUAUUGUUUGAGAGGCAUGUUUGGGAUAUCUGACACUAGGAAUGUUGCUCAUGGAUCUGAUUCUGAAGAUUCUGCUGAAAGGGAGAUCAAGUUCUUUUUCCCAGAAUUCUCCUUCUACCAUUGGCGCCUGGAUGAUGAAGAAUGGUUCCGGAGGGGUCCAAUAAUAUUCAAUGACCAUUUCUUUCAACAUGUUAAGAAGCUUUAGGUAGUACAAGUUAUAAAAAUAACUUGCUGAUAAUACUGUGGUAGUAAAAAUUUGGCAUGUUUUACAUAUUUUAGGGUUCUGUACACAUAUCAAGUGAAUUAAAAAUCGGCUUCUAUUUUCUUCUGAUGUGUAAGGUCUAGAUCUAGAGAGCCUAUAUAGUUAAAUAGAAAAAGUGGGUCUGGUUGUGCUAGCGUCAUAGUCCCGCCGAGUUACAGACGACCACCAUACAGUAAAAUAUGCUCUGUUCACACAUUAAUACUAAUCAGAAAAAAUGUGAUAUGUCAUUUAUCAAAUAAAAUGUCUACAGAGCCCUAAUUAUAGUUCUGCUAAUUCGCUAUGUUCCCGUCAAAUAGCUGUGCUUCACCAAAAUGAACUGUGUUAUAGCAAUAUUCACCAAAGAGUCACAAAGUAUGUAUUUAAAUAAUUGUACUCGUAUAGUGUGCCAAUAAAUUAAUUAAAUGCAUAAUAUUCUGUUCUAGUGUGAUGUAUACUAGCCUUAGAUUAAAGGUGCGUCUACACGGUGCAAGCAGCUUGCGCAUAUCAGGCACAUGCGUUUUAAAAACGUGCGGGUCCAGCGACGCGCACAUGUGCCAAAGCAAAAUACCCACCCGCAUGCGCGCGUCAAGGCUGAUUUACAUUGAGUCAGUAACUGA
Molecule: RNA transcript, 1309 nt
Organism: Helicoverpa zea (corn earworm)
Lineage: Eukaryota; Metazoa; Arthropoda; Insecta; Lepidoptera; Noctuidae
Gene name: nucleoside diphosphate kinase 6-like
Exons: 4
Source: RefSeq, a predicted model, not a curated record